This is a long non-coding RNA of Magallana angulata, 2225 nucleotides long. RefSeq lists it as uncharacterized. The transcript has 3 exons. The record is from RefSeq and is a predicted model, not a curated record. NCBI's taxonomy places the organism in Eukaryota, Metazoa, Mollusca, Bivalvia, Ostreida, Ostreidae.
AAAUGACUUUCAUAUAAGGAUGUAAAUCUGAGGGUUGAUUUGCAAUAAUUAAUGGGGAGGGUUGUGUAAGACUGCAAGUCCCUUCCCACAGUUGCCCCAUUUUUUAACAACAGAGUUUCUACGCUGUUACACGUACAGUUUGAAACUGCAGCCAAUCGGAGUGGUGGUUUCUUCCUCAAAGAUUUAAUUUUAAAUUAACCAAUCAUACUGUAGCAUUCUUUUGCCAUUUUAAGCGCCAAAGCAAUCUUUGCUAUAAAAUCUUGGAAGCUUCAACCAAUCACGGGGCGCAGUGCAUCUAAAACUUCAUCGUGAUGUAAGUUAAGCAACUUCACAGCGUGGUCCUGUUCUCGUGCGGCCAUCGACAUUGCAGAAUGCGACCGAAGAAGUGCGGCAGAGUCGGAACUCGAGGACGACGUACAGAACCAGCCGCAGGAUGCUCUGCAUAAGUACCAUGUUGUUUAGUAGAUAAGUAUUGCAAAGAGCGCGUUUCCUGACAUUUAGGCGGCCGACUGCAGCCAUUGUGUAUGAGGUCACAUGGGUCCCUCUGCAAUCAACAGCCAUCCAUCACCUGUAGCAAGGCCCCAUACAGUGCCAGAAUGUGGGCUCCAUACCAGACAUACGCUGAACACGGUCUUCUAUCAAUUGGAGUUGCGUGAAAUCAAAAUGUGUUAAAUGAAUCAUCAACUGCGAAUCCAAGGGACGAUCCUAUAUGAUAAAGAGGAUUAUAAUGGCAAUUCGGUUUGGGGGAAAAAAAGGAUUAGUUUUCUUUCAAGAGGAAAAAAUGUGGCUGUCAGCCGCCGGAUUGUUCCGUGCCGGAACCCGGGAUUGAACCGGGGGCCUUUAGAUCUUCAGUCUAACGCUCUCCCAACUGAGCUAUUCCGGCUGACAAGUGUUUAUAGGACUAAUGUCAGUCAUGUGGUUGUAUUUGUACUAAUUAUUCACCCGGAAACCGGAUAUAAGAGGUCAAAAUGCCCCACCCCACAACUAUAGACAUAUCGUUAGUAAUUUGCCAUGUUUACAUGUGUAUUAUCUGAAAUAUCACUAUUGCAUUGUAUACAUCAUUUACACGUGUCUUGUCUUACAUGCAUCAAUAUCUGGCUUGUUUGUGUUACACUAAGUUAUGCAUGAUCGAUUUAUCGAUAUAAGUUGUAGAGAGAGUCUGAGAGAGUUUGAACAAGACUAAAAGCAUGUUAAUCAGUAAAUAUGUAUCGUUAGUUUAAAUUGUGUAAUUUUGUGUGUGUGUUGAGUGUGUGUGUCAUGUUACAUAUGUUCAAGCGAGAGAUAAAGAUCAUAUCCGCUGUACUGAGUGUGUGUGUUUUGGGGCCUGUUUCACGUGUAUCUGUUUAUUGCUGCGACAACCCUAUGAAAUAAAGGCAUGUUAUUACUUAUGCUGAAAAUAUCACUCCUGUUUCCUAUACAUGUACUAAGAAUUUACAAACUAUAAAAUAUCUAUAGACUGUCCAUAACGAUAUGAUAUCGGGUAGACUCAAGUUUUAUGUCACAAUUUCUUCAGCUUUCUUGUAACGCUUCCAGUCAUGAUAUUUUGCAAAUAAGAGGGUUAAAUGAAAAAAAUAAAUAUAUUAAUUGCCCUUAAAAAGCCCCCAGUGAGGAUCGAACUCACGACCCCUGGUUUACAAGACCAGUGCUCUAACCACUGAGCUAUGGAGGCUCUUAAUGCGUGCUAGAAUGACAUUUUUAAAUUUAUCUUAUCCCGUACACAUGAAUUGAUUAUACAUGUACCUUUCCAGUGUCCACGUAGUAGAUUUACCUAUGCCUAAGUACAGUAGUGUAUGUCAAUUACCAAAGGCUAAUUCCUGCUAACUCGUGCAAUUUCCUUGAAAACUUGAAAAUUAUACGAGUAAAGAAAAGUAAAUUUCAAGUGAUACGUACGUCAUUUCAGAAACGUUUUGUAAAAGUACAAGUGUUUCAGAGCAAAUCAGUGUUUAAACGGUCAGACCACAAAACAAAGUUCACACGAAACCUUUUCUAAACAAUACAUAUCCAUACAUACUUCAAUUUAACAAUGUUAGAACCACCAAAAUCCGAUUAAAAAUAUAUUAUUUGUUGAAAUUCAUUUAGCUUUUUGACAAAUAUCGAUUGUAAAAUAUGCCAGAAAUUAAAAAAUAGUAUUGUGUUUUUCCAGUCAUGAUAAACCAAAGAAGGUUAGUGUAUAUCGAAUUAACUUGGAAUACCGUAUUAUCUUCAAAUAUAAUGAAUUACGAGUA